UAGGGAAUCUUCGGCAAUGGGGGGAACCCUGACCGAGCAACGCCGCGUGAGUGAAGAAGGUUUUCGGAUCGUAAAGCUCUGUUGUUAAGGAAGAACGAGUGUGAGAAUGGAAAGUUCAUGCUGUGACGGUACUUAACCAGAAAGGACCGGCUAAUUACGUGCCAGCAGCCGCGGUAAUACGUAAGGUCCGAGCGUUGUCCGGAAUCAUUGGGCGUAAAGGGUACGUAGGCGGGUAAGCAAGUUAGAAGUGAAAUCCUGUAGCUCAACUACAGUAAGCUUUUAAAACUGCUCAUCUUGAGAUAUGGAAGGGAAAGUGGAAUUCCUAGUGUAGCGGUGAAAUGCGUAGAUAUAUGGAGGAACACCGGUGGCGAAAGCGGCUCUCUGGUCUGUAACUGACGCUGAGGCUCGAAAGCGUGGGGAGCGAACAGG
RNAcentral lists this ribosomal RNA (429 nucleotides) under Bacteroidota bacterium. Its description in RNAcentral is "Bacteroidetes bacterium partial 16S ribosomal RNA". It matches the Rfam family "Bacterial small subunit ribosomal RNA", at positions 355 to 776 of the family's 1533-position model. The record is from RNAcentral. Lineage: Bacteria; Pseudomonadati; Bacteroidota.